UCCUGGGUGGCUCAGUCAGUUAAGCAUCUGACUUUGGCUCAGGUCAUGAUCUCAUGGUUCAUGGGUUCAAGCCCCAUGUCAGGUU
Molecule: transfer RNA, 85 nt
Filed under: Felis catus (domestic cat)
Lineage: Eukaryota; Metazoa; Chordata; Mammalia; Carnivora; Felidae
Rfam family: tRNA
About the family: Transfer RNA (tRNA) molecules are approximately 80 nucleotides in length. Their secondary structure includes four short double-helical elements and three loops (D, anti-codon, and T loops).
Source: Rfam by way of RNAcentral